Dermatophagoides farinae (American house dust mite) is the source of this 328-nucleotide non-coding RNA. The record is from RefSeq and is a predicted model, not a curated record. NCBI's taxonomy places the organism in Eukaryota, Metazoa, Arthropoda, Arachnida, Sarcoptiformes, Pyroglyphidae.
UUUCAAUUCAAUUUUCAUAGACUACACAUGAACGAGAAAAGGACAACGAUUAAUAAUGAGAAUUAGUAUGGUGUAUCAUUAUUCAUGUUUCAACGCAUCCCAAAUCCUAUAUUCAGACGAAUUAUAACGGAAAUCUACCGGAAAUUCAGAUCACAAUGUGAUGGAUGUUGAACAAAUCAAAAAACCCAUGGUUUAGCAAUUGGCCCGUUUAUUUGUGGUGAAAUUUUUCAUACUCAUGCAUGAUAAAUGUUUGUCACUUUCUCUAAUCACACAUCUGUAUAAAAAAUAUCUGCGAUAAAAAUUAAAGAUUGGCUCAUCUACAUAAUAA